This is a long non-coding RNA of Peromyscus californicus insignis, 2274 nucleotides long. RefSeq lists it as uncharacterized. Lineage: Eukaryota; Metazoa; Chordata; Mammalia; Rodentia; Cricetidae. The transcript has 3 exons. The record is from RefSeq and is a predicted model, not a curated record.
AGCCCUCGGCCUAGGCCACUUGCUUAGACCAGUUCUACGUCAAGCCAUAGUUUAAAGAGCAGAAGGAAGUGAAGGCGUGUGUUUUUGCAGUGCAUCUUGGUCAAUGAAGUUCUUACGGUGACACCCGGCUUCCCAGAAUGCAGCGCGCUCUGUGAGUUGGCAUUUUUAAACUGAUCUCUGAAUCGGUCGCGGGGAAGUCCUUAAAGGGCUAUAGCCCCUCCUUCUUGGAACUUCUUUUAGACAACCUCAGAACUGAUUCACCAGCCUCCACAGAAGGCCUGAGUUAAGGAAGGUGGAGCUCGCAAAGCAACAGGAUUGGGCAGAACUGAAGAUGGAAGUCAGCCAUCGAUGCAGCAGAACUCCCGAGGGCUUCGGGGUAUAGGGACGACUGUCAGCCGCGCGGCCCCAGUCUUCACUGGAGAUCUAGUCUACCCUUCGUGGGUCUAGUGAGAGGAGUCUUUUCUAGUAAAGGUCUGUCUCGUCCUGGUCGCCGAAGAGCCACGGCUUCUCAACGGGCAGCUUCCUAACAAAGGAUUUAUAUAGCACAGCUCUCACUUUAGAGAGAAGGCUUCUGUUUAGAAAUUAGGGGACGAUCUGUGGAAAAGUAAUACAGCCAGAAACCCCAUUCUUUGACUUGCACCCAUUCAGUCCGGGCCUCCAAAGCGCUUCACUGACUCAGGCCUACUUAGGGAAGUGAUUUCAAAGGUGGAGACCAAUGAAGAGGCUGCUCCUUCCCCAGGGGCCAAUCAGAGUCUGAAGAAUGGGGGAUGGGCAAAAACUGAAAUGAACCCAAUGACUUGGCAAAAGCUGCUGAAUUGCUUAUUUAAAGGGACAAGCCUGGGACCACCUCAUCACUCCCUCCUCACCCUCAAAGAGGAACUUGUGGCCCGGGGUUCAUGACUUUUGCAUCAUAUCCAGAUUGAGGGUGCCGGCAAAUGAGGCGGAGAAAUGAGAGGGGAGUCUGAGGUAGCUCCUGGGUCAAGUAUGUGCUAGGUGACUGCUAAUGUUCCUUCAGACUCCUAAGUUCUGCGCUCAGGACAUUGUGCCUUUAAGGAGACUUCCUGCCUUCCGCCCCAGUAACAGCUGAUUGUUCGACCCCAGGGGACGAGUCAGCCUUAACCACAUCCUCCUCCUUUCAGCCUGUCCUUCUCCGUCUCCUUUGCUCAGAUCCGCCCCCCCCCCCCACCCCGUGUCCCCAUUGGGUGGUAAGGGAAGGAAAUGGAACCCCAAGCAUGGAGGGUGGAGGGGUAUGGUUUUGUUCUUUCAGUGAUCUUUUCUCCAUCACUCCAGGAUUGCCACCUCCCCUAACAUCUUCUCCUUAGUUUUUCAGAGUUCUGAGGAAACUGGAACCGGAGAUAUUUCUUGUCAGCACAGUCCGUUUGGUGGGGAGGCCUGUUAUGGUGGCUAGCUGAGUGUGGGUGCUCCAAUAGGCUCUCUGGAUGGUACAGGGAAACCGAGCCCAGGCCUAGGGAAAAGGAAAGGUUGUGUAAAGUAAGCCGGGUGGGUCAGAACCCUGUUUCCUGUGCCAGCUGCCCCUUUCUCGCUGUUUCCCUUCCUAGGUCAGGUAGCUGGUGGAGUCCUCUGCCUUUGCCUGCUUCCUCCACGUCUCACUUCUUAGGCGCCACUAAUCUUUUAUUUUAACCCACCCCCUCCCACAGCUAAUGUGCCAACAUUUUGUUAGCUCAGGUACUGCAGGUGGAACACACGGGUCCUGGAAGCCAGGGUCGUCUUCUGGGAACUCUUACGGGAGGACCCAGGGUUUUAAGAAGAAGUUGUUUGAAACCACUUAGCACGGUGCAAAUUCACCGGACCCACGGUUGGCACACUCUUUGCCAGCUUCUUUCUUGCUGAUCUCACUUGGCGUGUGCUGGUGGCCCACAGGCAGCUGCGGUUUCCUCAGUGCCGAGCCAAAAGUGUUCUUCUGGAAACACGGUUCUCAUAUCUAACCUGAAGAUAGAGAAUUUUCAUGGGCCAUCUUGUUUCUCAGCUGAAAAACAAUAAUGUCCAAGUACAGGAAUACUAGUUUAAUUAAUUAAAAGAGAAUAUAAGCAAGCUCGCUUGCCUGCAUAUUCUCUCUCCCUUCGUCUCUCUCUCUCUCUCUCUCUCUCUCUCUCUCUCUCUCUCUCUCUCUCUCUCUCUCUCUCUCUGAGACAAGGUCUCAUUAUGUCACCCAGGCUAGCCUGGAACCUUCUACAUAGACCAGGCUGGCAUGGAACUCACAGAGAUUCUCCUGCCUCUGCCUCUGUAGUGUUGGAUUAAAGGCGAGCACCACUA